AGUGAACGCUGGCGGUAGGCCUAACACAUGCAAGUCGAACGGCAGCACAGUAAGAGCUUGCUCUUACGGGUGGCGAGUGGCGGACGGGUGAGGAAUACAUCGGAAUCUACUUUUUCGUGGGGGAUAACGUAGGGAAACUUACGCUAAUACCGCAUACGACCUACGGGUGAAAGCAGGGGAUCUUCGGACCUUGCGCGAUUGAAUGAGCCGAUGUCGGAUUAGCUAGUUGGCGGGGUAAAGGCCCACCAAGGCGACGAUCCGUAGCUGGUCUGAGAGGAUGAUCAGCCACACUGGAACUGAGACACGGUCCAGACUCCUACGGGAGGCAGCAGUGGGGAAUAUUGGACAAUGGGCGCAGGCCUGAUCCAGCCAUACCGCGUGGGUGAAGAAGGCCUUCGGGUUGUAAAGCCCUUUUGUUGGGAAAGAAAAGCAGCAGGUUAAUACCCCGCUGUUCUGACGGUACCCAAAGAAUAAGCGCCGGCUAACUUCGUG
Molecule: ribosomal RNA, 492 nt
Filed under: uncultured bacterium
Lineage: Bacteria
Description: partial 16S ribosomal RNA
Rfam family: Bacterial small subunit ribosomal RNA
Source: RNAcentral